This 22-nucleotide microRNA is filed under the name Lottia gigantea (owl limpet). RNAcentral describes it as "Lgi-Mir-34_3p* (star (passenger))". The record is from RNAcentral. Lineage: Eukaryota; Metazoa; Mollusca; Gastropoda; Lottiidae.
AACCACUAUCUACAUUGCCCCG